Molecule: ribosomal RNA, 391 nt
Filed under: uncultured bacterium
Lineage: Bacteria
Description: partial 16S ribosomal RNA
Rfam family: Bacterial small subunit ribosomal RNA
Source: RNAcentral
AUACAUAGGGGGCAAGCGUUAUCCGGAAUUAUUGGGCGUAAAGCGUGCGUAGGCGGUUUAUUAAGUCUGAUGUUAAAUCCCACAGCUCAACUGUGGGCUGCCAUUGGAAACUGGUAGACUUGAGUGCGGUAGAGGUAAGUGGAAUUCCAAGUGGAGCGGUGGAAUGCGUAGAUAUUUGGAGGAAUACCAGUGGCGAAGGCGGCUUCCAGCCCAGUAACGGCAGUUGAGUCACAAACGCUCGGGGAAGAAAAUGUAUAAGACUCUCUGGUGGUUCACGCCGGAAACUAAGAGCACUAAGUAUCGGAUGGAUUUUCGGCGCUGCAGGUACCACAAAAAGUGCCCACCCUUGGGAGUACCGUCUUAAGACGGAUACUCAAAGGAUUUGACGGGG